CCUACGGGAGGCAGCAGUGGGGAAUAUUGGGCAAUGGGCGCAAGCCUGACCCAGCAACGCCGCGUGAAGGAAGAAGGCUUUCGGGUUGUAAACUUCUUUUGACAGGGAAGAGCAGAAGACGGUACCUGUCGAAUAAGCCACGGCUAACUACGUGCCAGCAGCCGCGGUAAUACGUAGGUGGCAAGCGUUGUCCGGAUUUACUGGGUGGAAAGGGCGGGUAGCCGGGCUGACAAGUCAGUUGUGAAAUCCGGGGGCUCAACCCCCGAACUGCAUUUGAAACUGUUGGUCUUGAGUAUCGGAGAGGCAGGCGGAAUUCCUAGUGUAGCGGUGAAAUGCGUAGAUAUUAGGAGGAACACCAGUGGCGAAGGCGGCCUGCUGGACGACAACUGACGGUGAGGCGCGAAAGCGUGGGGAGCAAACAGGAUUAGAUACCCUAGUAGUC
RNAcentral lists this ribosomal RNA (442 nucleotides) under uncultured bacterium. Its description in RNAcentral is "partial 16S ribosomal RNA". It matches the Rfam family "Bacterial small subunit ribosomal RNA", at positions 338 to 795 of the family's 1533-position model. The record is from RNAcentral.